This 27-nucleotide non-coding RNA is filed under the name Macaca fascicularis (crab-eating macaque). RNAcentral also lists the same sequence under 1 other name. The record is from RNAcentral. Lineage: Eukaryota; Metazoa; Chordata; Mammalia; Primates; Cercopithecidae.
CCCCCUUUUAAAAGCACUCAAUGGGCC